This 547-nucleotide ribosomal RNA is filed under the name uncultured bacterium. RNAcentral's name for it is "partial 16S ribosomal RNA". It matches the Rfam family "Bacterial small subunit ribosomal RNA", at positions 355 to 919 of the family's 1533-position model. The record is from RNAcentral.
UGGGGAGUAUUGGACAAUGGGGGCAACCCUGAUCCAGCCAUGCCGCGUGAGUGAUGAAGGCCUUAGGGUUGUAAAGCUCUUUCACCGGUGAAGAUAAUGACGGUAACCGGGGAAGAAGCCCCGGCUAACUUCGUGCCAGCAGCCGCGGUAAUACGAAGGGGGCUAGCGUUGUUCGGAAUUACUGGGCGUAAAGCGCACGCAGGCGGAUUGUUAAGUCGAGGGUGAAAUCCCAGGGCUCAACCCUGGAACUGCCUUCGAUACUGGCAUUCUUGAGUCCGAGAGAGGUGAGUGGAAUUCCGAGUGUAGAGGUGAAAUUCGUAGAUAUUCGGAAGAACACCAGUGGCGAAGGCGGCUCACUGGCUCGGAACUGACGCUGAGGUGCGAAAGCGUGGGGAGCAAACAGGAUUAGAUACCCGUGGUAGUCCACGCCGUAAACGAUGGGUGCUAGCCGUUGGGCAGCUUGCUGUUCAGUGGCGCCGCUAACGCUUUAAGCACCCCGCCUGGGGAGUACGGUCGCAAGAUUAAAACUUAAAUGAAUUGACGGGUC